This 422-nucleotide ribosomal RNA is filed under the name uncultured bacterium. RNAcentral's name for it is "bacterial SSU rRNA". It matches the Rfam family "Bacterial small subunit ribosomal RNA", at positions 355 to 774 of the family's 1533-position model. The record is from RNAcentral.
UGAGGAAUAUUGGGCAAUGCCCGCAAGGGUGACCCAGCAACGCCGCGUGGAGGAUGAAUGUCGUAAGAUUGUAAACUCCUGUUAGAGGGGAAGAAUAGUACCGGUUGGACCGGUAUAUGACUGUACCCUCAGAGAAAGCCCCGGCUAACUACGUGCCAGCAGCCGCGGUAAUACGUAGGGGGCAAGCGUUGUCCGGAUUUACUGGGUGUAAAGGGCGCGCAGGCGGGAUAAAAAGUCAGUGGUGAAAUCCUACAGCUUAACUGUAGAACUGCCUUUGAUACUUUUAUUCUUGAGUUCGGGAGAGAGAGACGGAAUUCCAGGUGUGGUGGUGAAAUACGUAGAUAUCUGGAAGAACACCAGUUGCGAAGGCGGUCUCUUGGUCCGACACUGACGCUGAGGCGCGAAAGCGUGGGGAGCAAACA